UACGUAGGGGGCUAGCGUUGUCCGGAUUCAUUGGGCGUAAAGAGCGUGUAGGCGGCCAUGUAGGUCCGGUGUGAAAACUCGAGGCUUAACCUCGAGAUGUCAUCGGAAACCAUUUGGCUAGAGUCCGGAAGAGGAGAGUGGAAUUCCUGGUGUAGCGGUGAAAUGCGCAGAUAUCAGGAAGAACACCAAUGGCGAAAGCAGCUCUCUGGGACGGUACUGACGCUGAGACGCGAAAGCGUGGGGAGCAAACAGG
RNAcentral lists this ribosomal RNA (253 nucleotides) under uncultured bacterium. Its description in RNAcentral is "partial 16S ribosomal RNA". It matches the Rfam family "Bacterial small subunit ribosomal RNA", at positions 524 to 776 of the family's 1533-position model. The record is from RNAcentral.